Molecule: long non-coding RNA, 865 nt
Organism: Ailuropoda melanoleuca (giant panda)
Lineage: Eukaryota; Metazoa; Chordata; Mammalia; Carnivora; Ursidae
Exons: 2
Source: RefSeq, a predicted model, not a curated record
UAUCAUGCUGACUAUUCAGCUGUUGAAGAGGAAGAAUUUCCUCUGCGCUUCAAGGUCCUUCCUGCUGGACGAGAACCAGAUUGAUUCAAGAUAGAAGAUCAGAUUUAGUUUUGUAUGUGCAGGGAAUUGACACGGACAUGAAAGUCUAAAGACAGGCAACAUGAGGCUUCUGUGAGCUAAGGAAAGGGUUAGGGGUCUGAGGAUACAAAGGCGAAGAAAGACCAUUAGUAGGAAGGUGAGAGGAGAUGUUUGGAGAACAAACAUUGUCCUGUUAACGUAGGCAGAGAAGUUUCUUUGGUAAAGAGGAAUCUCUUCCUGGUAAUAAGCAGGCAGUUGAGGAGAAGGUAAGAGGUUUUCCUGAACCUGCUGGAUUUUGUUUGCUUUAACUCAGAAUACUGGUCAUGUCAAAGUGGCCCAUCUUGGGGCGGCCUACCCCCUACAGAGGGAAUAUUAGAAAAUAUAAUGGGAGAAGAUAAAAAUGGUUUUGAUAAAAUUUCAAAUCCAUUACUGAUUGAAAGAAGAAGGAAAAAAACCCUUUUUAUUAACUCCUAUUAAGCUGGGAGUAGAAAGUUAGCUUUUGAUAGAUAAUCUUCAUCAGUUAUCAGUGAUCUUCAUAGUUAACACUGAAGCACAAAUGAUUUUCCAUUACAGUGUGGAAGCAAGGAGGAGUUCUGCUGAGAGACAAGGAAGUAGACAAGGAGAGGAGCACUGGGCAGGAGAUCUGCUUUUCUAAAAGCUCUCGAUUUUAAAAAAAUUAAAUACAGGUGUUAUUUUUAUAAGUUCUAAACUUGGAGCUAAAAAGUUUAAUAAGGCAGCCAAGUAAAAAAUAGGAAAAAAAAAAAAAAAAAAAACAAUUGCUUUACUA